This 179-nucleotide ribosomal RNA is filed under the name Ruellia fulgida. RNAcentral's name for it is "5.8S ribosomal RNA". The stretch from base 16 to 171 matches the Rfam family "5.8S ribosomal RNA". Rfam says of the family: 5.8S ribosomal RNA (5.8S rRNA) is a component of the large subunit of the eukaryotic ribosome. RNAcentral also lists the same sequence under 5 other names. Lineage: Eukaryota; Viridiplantae; Streptophyta; Magnoliopsida; Lamiales; Acanthaceae. The record is from RNAcentral.
CUUGAAUGUCAAAACGACUCUCGGCAACGGAUAUCUCGGCUCUCGCAUCGAUGAAGAACGUAGCGAAAUGCGAUACUUGGUGUGAAUUGCAGAAUCCCGUGAACCAUCGAGUCUUUGAACGCAAGUUGCGCCCGAAGCCUUCGGGCCGAGGGCACGCCUGCCUGGGCGUCACGCAUCGC